GACACGACUCUCGMCAAUGGAUAUCUCGGCUCUCGCAUCGAUGAAGAGCGCAGCGAAAUGCGAUACGUGGUGCGAAUUGCAGAAUCCCGCGAAC
Molecule: ribosomal RNA, 94 nt
Filed under: Maxillaria humilis
Lineage: Eukaryota; Viridiplantae; Streptophyta; Magnoliopsida; Asparagales; Orchidaceae
Description: 5.8S ribosomal RNA
Rfam family: 5.8S ribosomal RNA
About the family: 5.8S ribosomal RNA (5.8S rRNA) is a component of the large subunit of the eukaryotic ribosome.
Source: RNAcentral